UAGGGAAUCUUCGGCAAUGGGGGCAACCCUGACCGAGCAACGCCGCGUGAGUGAAGAAGGUUUUCGGAUCGUAAAGCUCUGUUGUAAGAGAAGAACGUGUGUGAGAGUGGAAAGUUCACACAGUGACGGUAACUUACCAGAAAGGGACGGCUAACUACGUGCCAGCAGCCGCGGUAAUACGUAGGUCCCGAGCGUUGUCCGGAUUUAUUGGGCGUAAAGCGAGCGCAGGCGGUUUAAUAAGUCUGAAGUUAAAGGCAGUGGCUUAACCAUUGUUCGCUUUGGAAACUGUUAAACUUGAGUGCAGAAGGGGAGAGUGAAUUCCAUGUGUAGCGGUGAAAUGCGUAGAUAUAUGGAGGAACACCGGUGGCGAAAGCGGCUCUCUGGUCUGUAACUGACGCUGAGGCUCGAAAGCGUGGGGAGCAAACAGG
Molecule: ribosomal RNA, 428 nt
Filed under: bacterium
Lineage: Bacteria
Description: partial 16S ribosomal RNA
Rfam family: Bacterial small subunit ribosomal RNA
Source: RNAcentral